GUCGGCAGGAGCAAGCCUGAAAA
This 23-nucleotide non-coding RNA is filed under the name Cricetulus griseus (Chinese hamster). Lineage: Eukaryota; Metazoa; Chordata; Mammalia; Rodentia; Cricetidae. The record is from RNAcentral.